This 336-nucleotide unclassified non-coding RNA is filed under the name soil metagenome. Its description in RNAcentral is "partial contains 5.8S ribosomal RNA, internal transcribed spacer 2, and large subunit ribosomal RNA". The stretch from base 1 to 120 matches the Rfam family "5.8S ribosomal RNA", at positions 35 to 154 of the family's 154-position model. The record is from RNAcentral.
GAUGAAGAACGUAGCGAAAUGCGAUAAGUAGUGUGAAUUGCAGAAUUCAGUGAAUCAUCGAAUCUUUGUACGCACAUUGCGCCCCUUGGUAUUCCAUGGGGCAUGCCUGUUCGAGCGUCAUUUACACCCUCAAGCUCAGCUUGGUGUUGGGCGUCUGUCCCGCUUCGUGCGUGGACUCGCCCCAAAGGUAUUGGCAGCGGUCCUUGCCAGCUUCUCGCGCAGCACAUUGCGCUUCUCGAGGCUGGCGGAUCGGCGUCCAUCAAGCCCACUUCCACAGUUUGACCUCGGAUCAGGUAGGGAUACCCGCUGAACUUAAGCAUAUCAAUAAGCGGAGGA